This 497-nucleotide ribosomal RNA is filed under the name uncultured bacterium. Its description in RNAcentral is "partial 16S ribosomal RNA". It matches the Rfam family "Bacterial small subunit ribosomal RNA", at positions 28 to 507 of the family's 1533-position model. The record is from RNAcentral.
GAUGAACGCUGGCGGCGUGCCUAAUACAUGCAAGUCGAGCGAACAGACGAGGAGCUUGCUCCUCUGACGUUAGCGGCGGACGGGUGAGUAACACGUGGAUAACCUACCUAUAAGACUGGGAUAACGUCGGGAAACCGGAGCUAAUACCGGAUAAUAUAUUGAACCGCAUGGUUCAAUAGUGAAAGACGGUUUUGCUGUCACUUAUAGAUGGAUCCGCGCCGCAUUAGCUAGUUGGUAAGGUAACGGCGUACCAAGGCAACGAUGCGUAGCCGACCUGAGAGGGUGAUCGGCCACACUGGAACUGAGACACGGUCCAGACUCCUACGGGAGGCAGCAGUAGGGAAUCUUCCGCAAUGGGCGAAAGCCUGACGGAGCAACGCCGCGUGAGUGAUGAAGGUCUUCGGAUCGUAAAACUCUGUUAUUAGGGAAGAACAAAUGUGUAAGUAACUAUGCACGUCUUGACGGUACCUAAUCAGAAAGCCCCGGCUAACUACGUG